GAUGAAAGGAAACUGAUGCUAAUGAAAUUAUUGGCCUCAACCCAAUUGCUAUUACAAUCAUACAGCAAUACAAUGUUAGCCUGUUUCCAAUGUUACGGUUCUACGUAUAAAUUGAACUUCCAAUUAUUUGAGAUAAAUUACUAAAAAUUCUUGAAAUUUAUCAUAAUAUACUUAAAUUUUUACUGUUUUAAAAUUAAUAAUCUUACUCCCUGCACAUGCAUUAAAAAAGGUCAGGUCGCCUGUAUGGUAACUUUGCCGGAUAGCCAUCAGAUCACUACCAAUACCAACUAAUUUGAUCAAAUUGGUAAGGUACAAAAAACCAUCACUACCAUACUAAACCAAAAUCAAUCAUCCAAGAAGAGGACCAUGAAUCCUACGAGAUGUCAUACCUAGUGUAAUUAUUCAAAGACUGUACAAAAAGUUGAAAAAAUAUGCCCAUCGGAAGGCUUUGCCGGAUCAGACUUUGGUAGGAGAAAUUUUACAUAAAUGACAGGCAUAACCCAGAGCUUCUAUAUUUUGAUUACAAUUGAUAGAAGAAAGAGAUUUAUCAUCAAAAUUUCUCCCAGCCUAGACAAUGCCACUUCAGAGUACACGGUUUUCUCUUCUCAACCACACAACUAUAGGGAGAGAGAGAGAGAGAGAGA
This 644-nucleotide unclassified non-coding RNA is filed under the name Hevea brasiliensis (rubber tree). The record is from RNAcentral. Lineage: Eukaryota; Viridiplantae; Streptophyta; Magnoliopsida; Malpighiales; Euphorbiaceae.